Molecule: ribosomal RNA, 497 nt
Filed under: uncultured bacterium
Lineage: Bacteria
Description: partial 16S ribosomal RNA
Rfam family: Bacterial small subunit ribosomal RNA
Source: RNAcentral
GACGAACGCUGGCGGCGUGCCUAAUACAUGCAAGUUGAGCGCUGAAGGUUGGUACUUGUACCGACUGGAUGAGCAGCGAACGGGUGAGUAACGCGUGGGGAAUCUGCCUUUGAGCGGGGGACAACAUUUGGAAACGAAUGCUAAUACCGCAUAAAAACUUUAAACACAAGUUUUAAGUUUGAAAGAUGCAAUUGCAUCACUCAAAGAUGAUCCCGCGUUGUAUUAGCUAGUUGGUGAGGUAAAGGCUCACCAAGGCGAUGAUACAUAGCCGACCUGAGAGGGUGAUCGGCCACAUCGGGACUGAGACACGGCCCAAACUCCUACGGGAGGCAGCAGUAGGGAAUCUUCGGCAAUGGACGAAAGUCUGACCGAGCAACGCCGCGUGAGUGAAGAAGGUUUUCGGAUCGUAAAACUCUGUUGGUAGAGAAGAACGUUGGUGAGAGUGGAAAGCUCAUCAAGUGACGGUAACUACCCAGAAAGGGACGGCUAACUACGUG